Diachasma alloeum is the source of this 638-nucleotide long non-coding RNA. RefSeq lists it as uncharacterized. The transcript is spliced from 3 exons. The record is from RefSeq and is a predicted model, not a curated record. Lineage: Eukaryota; Metazoa; Arthropoda; Insecta; Hymenoptera; Braconidae.
GGAGAGGUCAAAGACAACACACGUGUUGAAAACAUUUCGUGCAGUGAAAUGGGCAAAACUACAUGGGCAAAAUACAAACGACACUACAAAUCAGAUUGGGAGCAAGAGCGUUGGUCUCAAGGGUGGCUAACGUCGAUUCAAAAUGCACCAAUGGCAUGCCAAAACACAGUUAACGAUGCCUGGUGCAUUUACUGCAAAGUGUCCUUACGUAGUCAUCGCGACGAUCUAAAAAGACAUUCGACCACAAAAAAACAUUUGAAAAAUAAAUAUAGCCUUCAGUUACCUCGAACACAAACAACGCUGAAAUACGCUAUAAUACCUGAGAAUCAAUAACAGAAGGUGACUGAUAUCAAGAUUGCUAUGUAUGUAGCGAAGCACACCGCUAUAAAUGCUGUGGAUCAUUUGUGUGACCUAGUCCAGCCGUUAGGAAAAGGCAGUGUUUUGGAGAAUUUGCGACUCCAUCGUACCAAAUGCACCAGCAUCAUCAAACACGUAAUUUCACCCUCGAUUUUGAAGGAUCUUGUCGAGAAUAUCGGUAACAAACCAUAUUCCCUCAUUCUCGACGAGUCGACAGAUGUGUCAUGUAUGAAAUUCAUGUGCAUUUGCGUACGUUAUUUCAACAUAACAAAAGGGGCGAU